AAAGGUAAGCUACUAAGAGCAAAUGGUGGAUGCCUUGGCUAGUAGAGGCGAUGAAAGACGUGCUAGGCUGCGAUAAGUCUCGGGGAGCCGUCAAGGGGCUUUGAUCCGGGAAUUUCUGAAUGGGGCAACCCAGUAUAUAGUGAUAUAUACUACCGCAAUGCGGAGCGAACGUUGGGAAUUGAAACAUCUUAGUACCAACAGGAAAAGAAAUCAAACGAGAUUACGCUAGUAGCGGCGAGCGAAAGCGUAAGAGGGCAAACCACUAGCUUGCUAGUGGGGUUGUAGGACUGCAAUAUAGACUUAAACAAUCUAAUAGAAUAAGCUGGAAAGCUUAAGCAUAGAGGGUGAUACUCCCGUAUAUGAAAGUGCGUUUAUACUUAGCAGUAUCCUGAGUAGGGCGGGACACGUGUAAUCCUGUCUGAAGCUGGGUAGACCACU
RNAcentral lists this ribosomal RNA (438 nucleotides) under Campylobacter hyointestinalis subsp. lawsonii. Its description in RNAcentral is "bacterial LSU rRNA". It matches the Rfam family "Bacterial large subunit ribosomal RNA", at positions 1 to 457 of the family's 2925-position model. The record is from RNAcentral. Lineage: Bacteria; Pseudomonadati; Campylobacterota; Epsilonproteobacteria; Campylobacterales; Campylobacteraceae.